Molecule: long non-coding RNA, 1093 nt
Organism: Cottoperca gobio
Lineage: Eukaryota; Metazoa; Chordata; Actinopteri; Perciformes; Bovichtidae
Exons: 2
Source: RefSeq, a predicted model, not a curated record
AAGCUAAUUUCCCUUUGUAACUAAUCUAUCAUUCCCCAAACAGGUAAAAAAUUCACAAAUUGUGCAAAAUCCUCAUCCAAGUAAGAAUUGUGCAAAGCUUAGUAGAUGAUGCGCCUGUGCAUGCUGUAUGAAUUUGACUUGAAGGGGGAUACCCGACCAGUGUGAAAAAACAUAUUUGACUAAAACUGAGUUUCCCACAGCUUUUCCCAUCCCUGCCCUGGAUGCCUCUUCUCUAAAUACCCCCUUCCCUGUUCUGCACUCAACCCAAAAACACACUUCCAACACAUUAAAGAGUUUUAACCUUGUGUGACAAGUCACAUAGUGCUUUGAUAUUCUCUUUCCCUUAGUGCUUGCUCUUAAAACCACACGCCUCAUGUGUUAGUAGUGAGUGGGCAGUGUAUAUUGAUCUGAUAUGAUCUGAUCGCAUGCCGCUUGUAUGGCAGCACGAGAAGAAAGACGAGUGCUGCUGAACGGUACAGAAAUCUGCAUUUUGGUCUGUAGUUACACCUUUGUUACCCUGUGGCUUCAACUUUAUUUGGAUUAUUUCUAACCCUGAUGAUCAUCAAAUCCAACUCCAAGUUCAAGUUGUGGCCACAGUUUUCAAACUUUAUUUCAUAAUCAGUAAUCUUGAUGGAUUAAACAAUAAAUAAAAAUGCGUUUAUUAAUAUCCUCAUUGUUUGCAGGUCCAGCUCAUCUGGUACCCAAAUUCCAAAGACAGAGGUGCCUCCUCAAACUGUAUAAAAAUAUAGCUUAUACUUGAAAGGGAGGAAGUCGUCACAGGAACCGUGCCAGCGAAGACACACACACUAUCAUGGCUAACAUACCUAUGACAGCUGGAUGAGCCAUACACAGGGUUUAAGAUGAAGUCUAACCUGGUUUCAUUGGGUUUCCCACUGAGUUCUGUACAAAGUCCUACAAGAAGGCAGUAAAAUAUUUAUCUACGGUUUGCUCAGCAUUCUUUGAGUGUUGACUAAAAUAAAAUAAUAAAUACAAAAAUACUCCCAACCAUGAGACUUGAUUAGGUACUUUGAAUGAAAAAAAUGCAACAAUUAGUAUCUCUUCUUUACACUUUACUCUUGUAAAACAAUAAAAU